This 1526-nucleotide long non-coding RNA is filed under the name Cricetulus griseus (Chinese hamster). RNAcentral describes it as "lncRNA (ENSCGRG00000024579.1)". Lineage: Eukaryota; Metazoa; Chordata; Mammalia; Rodentia; Cricetidae. The record is from RNAcentral.
AAAGCACUGAAGCUUUAAAAAAAAAAAAAAAACCCUAUGUUUUCCAAUGUGAACCACAUCCUGCUCUCACUAACUCCACCCUUGGUGACUUAGCUGACAGUCUGAAGGAAGCUGGUGACUAUUUAAGUCAAAGGUCCCUCAGGCUUGCAACCAAGUCAUUGCCAAGGACUCUAUCAAGGACACUGAAAUGGAAAAACCAGAAGAGCCAGCAGUGACUCUUGGGCAGACCCUGGAAUGGCUGAGGAAAGAGCUGGCUGAGAUGCAGAUCCAAGACCAGCAGCUGCUGCUCUCACUGAGGCACCUGCAGAGCCUCCUGGAGGAACUUCGGGCCGAAAGCACCCACUGGGAGGAUACCAGGCCCAGCAGAAACACAUCACCUUUCCGAGCUAGACUGGGCUCAGAAGGCAGGAGCUGUCAGCCUGUGUCGAGGGAAUUGGCCCAGCUUCUCCAAAGGGAAGAGAGCAGGCGGAGCUCCCUUCCUUAACCGGCCAAAGAGGAUACUCAUCAAAACCCUCCCACCACAAGUAUAAAUUUUGUGUCUGCUGUGUGUCCUUGGAUCUGUUACUUCUUAACUGCCUCUGUCACUUACCUCUGUGUGUGUGUGUGUGUGUGAUAAAUUAUUGGAUGCAUACAUGCUUCAAACGUACAACUCUGUUACAUAGUUUCUAGAAAGUUAUCACCAUGAGUGAUAACCUAUAUUUUAGGAAAUUUUCACAGUAUAAUUGUUAAAGAUUGUGAUGUACAAAGAUGUCUGCCUAAUAUUGCCUUGGUGAAAAAUCAGAAUACCUGUAGUGACUUCCUGGCUAUUUUCUGUGUUCCCAGCAGACCUUCCCGGCCCCCUUUAUCUGAUAACAACAGGCCCUGUUGCAACCACAGGUAACCAGGCCUAGUCAACUAUAACUCAUGUUGGCUCAAACAUCAUGAUUCAUGAUUAGCUUAAUUCAUGGGCAUGUGACUCAACAAAGCCACCCACAAUUCUUCCCUGGGAUGACUACCUGCCAACCAUACUUCAAGGGUGCAGUUUGAUUUCUUUUAGGCUAGAUUGAUCUUUGCCAGUAAGCAGUGUAGGGUUAGAUCCCAGGGCAAGAGAUGAAAGGAGGGACUGGCUCCUUUGUCCCCUGCAGUAUCUUGUAGGCUUUUUGCAACUCUUGGUGUCACCCAACAGUGAUCUUCACUAUAGAGCAAGUGGCACAAGCUCUGUAUAGGUCCAGGGCCCAGCUUAGAGGCACCCUCUAGGCUCAGAGCCUCUUCUUAGAUGUCUGCAGGCCAGGCCUACAGGGCUCCUGUCUGUGUGGUUUGAAUUUUAAUCCUUCAGCUUCCUUGUUCCCCCAGCACUGGGGGUGGUAAAUUCUCCCUGUAAUUGCUAGUUUGAAAUUAUUUUUAGAACUUCUCAUCUGCUCAGUUAACUUUAUACUUACUUAACAAUUCUUUGUAUUAAAUUCUGUAUGUUUAAAAAAAAAGGAAGAAAGAGAAGGCAUGACUUCUUUUCUACCUAUUCCACUGACACCAUUUUUGCUAUUCUUGCC